Molecule: long non-coding RNA, 3204 nt
Organism: Dreissena polymorpha
Lineage: Eukaryota; Metazoa; Mollusca; Bivalvia; Myida; Dreissenidae
Exons: 3
Source: RefSeq, a predicted model, not a curated record
UAAGCGUCAUAUAAAACAUAAUUGUGAAUUUCUUAAUUAACAAUCAUAGCAUCACCCUGGAAAAAACAUGACCUUUUUUCCAACGAACACAGGAGAUCAUGAGAAUGAUCGUCGUGAUAGUCAUGGCUAACCAUCUAAUAAAUUACAACUUCUAAAUAUUGAAAAAAUCAAACUUUCCAGCACUUCUUGACGGGUUUUCGUGAAAGGCACGACACUGUGAGGAGGACCGAUACUAUGGGAGUAAGGGGUAAUAGUAUUUCCUACUGCUGCUCGAAGUUUAUCGAGUGAUUACAUUGAAGCCCACUGAAUAUGACAGAAGGAAACACCGAUCGUAGGAUGUCAGAAACUGAAAGUGUUCCAAUACAUAGCAGUAUGUACAGCCGUCACUCUCGAAAUCAUGUCGAAAGUGUGUCCGUGGAAGUCUGCCAUAUAAUGACCAUGCUGGGAUACGGGGAGGAGAUCAGACGGAGACGUGUUGAGAAGAACAGGGAAUGGGAUAUUCUACUGAACCCAUUUAUCGAUAAUGUUACUUUCAUCACAGCUGGCAGCAAGGCGGAGGGGCUGACCUGCAUUAAUGAAAGCGACUAUGAUUUUUUAUUCGUGCCAAACAAUGUCCUCUGUGUUGAAGCUGGAGUCGAUCUACACACCAUAUCAGACGACGUACAGGAUGGAUACACGUGUAAACCCAGGACACUGCAGGAUGUUACUAGAGAGACCUGGUUCCUCACGUCAAAAUUAUAUAAGUCAUAUUAUUAAUAUUGCUCUGUGUGAUGACGGACAUGGGAACGUUUUGCUUAGCAGUGAAUUAUUUCUGGAUGAAAUGUAAAGACUUAAAAGAGAAGAUCCAUUUGUUCCACUUGAACGCGCGGGGCCGUCACUUCCAUUUUUAUUUGAAGGUAGCCAUUCAAAAAUGUAUAUCGACAGAGUGUAUGCAGUACGCUGUCAAUGUCCCGGCAUCCUGCAGAGAUGGGCUCAACGACCUCGACAUUGGCCGCCACCGGAUGUCGUGCAGAAAGUUGUAUCAUUGGGAUCUGUUGGCAAGCUGAAAGCAAUUCAUCCGCGAUGUUUCAAGAAAGGAAUUUGAUCCACUGGUUACAUGACGCUCUGAGAACACUCAGAACGGUGAUAUUCUCUACACAGCUGACAUACUACAUGAUUCCUGAGCGAAAUCUGAUGGCAGCGUGUGGAUUGAAGGAAGUACAGCAGCGUAAAUGGGUAGCAGAUAUUACGGAUAUGAUUGACGAAGGUCCGAGAAUGAUACUGCGAUUGGGGAAGAUACGACAGGCUGUUAUCAGUUACCCAGAGCCGCUGUUGUGGUUCAGCGCGAGAAGGAUGGAGGUUGAGUUACUCCAGCUGGAGUUAAGGAAUGGCAUGCACCGUUAUGAUGGGAACAGGAAUAUCGAGAUAUGGACACGCAUGAAGCUGAUAAUAUUCGAGUUCUGUCUACAGUUCUUGAUGUUAGGCACUGUUUUUUAUCACCCGUCUGAUAUAUUAUACAGGUUGUGGAUGUAAAAAUGUAUUGAAAUAACGUUUUACUCAUAUAUGUAAACAUUUGAUUUCACCUGUUUUGCAUCAGAUUCUUGUUUGUAUUGUGUGCUAAGCUGAUGCAUGUAGAAAAGCUAGAGAAAAGCAUAGAGAUAACCGCCUCUGCUUAACUACUUUAUUAACUAAAGCAGAACAUUCAUGAACUAAAAUGAACUGUUAGUUGUCCGUGUGAUGAAGGAAAAUAAUUGCUGUAUUUGGGAAACAUUCCAUUUACAUAAAAUACUAAUUGAGUCCUUUUUCAAGCGAUGAUAUGACGAAUUAUCAUAAUCACAUAAGUUUUUACUAAUUGUGUUAACAAACAGACUGGUAUAUAAUCUCAAUUCAAUUUUGUCAGCUUGAUUUGUUAUUUAACCCGCAAAUUUUAAAGAAUAAUCUCUGCUCGUUGCUUGUUCAACUUUCAAAUAGAUCGUCUUUUGCUUCAAAAUCUUCAGAAUAUUUUUUUUUUAAUCGGAAAAGGGAAAAUCUUUUAAAUGGACUUGCUAACAGAUUUUCGUUUUUUUAUGGAAAAAUGUCAAUAAGUGAGUUUACAAAACAAACUGUUAUGUUUGUAAGUUUGUACUAGAUACAAAAUUGCAAUGACGAGGAAACUGAUAAAAUAAUAUACAAAUGACUACAUUGGAGAUCGACCUUAGGAUCACCAGAAACAAACGGUUACGCUGGCGGUCGAUAAAUGCCUACAUCAGAAUAGACAGCUACACCGCAAGACACAAAAUGAAACAAACUAAAAAUAUUUGCUUUCACUGAAAACAAUUUAAAAAUAAAUCGCAGUUUAACUUGCAUUUUAUAAGUUUCCGAUCCUGUUUGCUGGAUAUCGUGUAUGUUAACUCGUUUUUCGGACUCAAUGACACAUGUAUCACAUAGCAAAAAUAUAAUAUGUGAUAAACAUUGGUGGGAUAUUCGUCAACCCCGAUUACGCGCUUAAUUUACCUAAGGCUAGUAAGAGUUGUAGGUUGUUUCUUGACACUCGUGUGAAACAUGCUAUAUAAAUGAUAUAUACGUAGGAUUGGACUAUUUUGUUGUCAUACCAAACUUUCCUUAUGAGUGAUGUAAUACUUAUGUAUUACAUGUUUUGCACGCGCAGUAUGAACCGGUGUUAAUACACUGCAGCUUUAACCAUCUCACAGUCUGCAAUCGGUCACACGCUGUGUUUUUUAAAAUAUAGAAAUUAGAACGAAUAUGUCUUUUCAAUCCGGCUGUUCUAAGAAUGGAAUGAAUGUGCAUGGAAAUCUACAUGUUUCGCCCUUUUUCAUGUGCACGUGCAGUUCGAGAAAACGACACACGUGCAUGACACAGAAGUGUUAGAGUGUCGUAGAUGAAUAAUUGCAAAAGGAUUCGUUCCCAAAUAACAACGUGAAACUUUUCAAUUUUGAUUUUUUCAACCGCGGUCGAGAAAUAGGAUUUUUUUUUUUAAGUAUUGCGUUUACAGUGCUAUUGCUAUCAGAUGAUUGUUUUCUAUUAUUAUUUAUAUAUUCAUAUGUAUGCGUGCAUAUUUUGUUUAAUGUAGUUACUUAUUUACUAUCAAUUUAAAUACUACUUUAGUAUGUUAUCAUUAAUUUUGGGUUAUUGUUAAUACUGCAUAUAAAAUAUUUGCGGACUCAUGUGUGAAAUAAAUGUAUUGUUAAAGCAUGUUUGAAGUGAUAAUAAAAAGAACGAAACAUU